UAUUAGCGGAUGCUUACACAUGCAAGUCGACGGAAUCUUCGGAUUUAGUGGCGGACGGGUGAGUAACGCGUGAGAAUCUAGCUCUAGGUCGGGGACAACCACUGGAAACGGUGGCUAAUACCGGAUGUGCCGAAAGGUGAAAGAUUUAUUGCCUAGAGAUGAGCUCGCGUCUGAUUAGCUAGUUGGUGUGGUAAGAGCGCACCAAGGCGACGAUCAGUAGCUGGUCUGAGAGGAUGAUCAGCCACACUGGGACUGAGACACGGCCCAGACUCCUACGGGAGGCAGCAGUGGGGAAUUUUCCGCAAUGGGCGAAAGCCUGACGGAGCAAUACCGCGUGAGGGAGGAAGGCUCUUGGGUUGUAAACCUCUUUUCUCAGGGAAUAAGAAAGUGAAGGUACCUGAGGAAUAAGCAUCGGCUAACUCCGUGCCAGCAGCCGCGGUAAUACGGAGGAUGCAAGCGUUAUCCGGAAUGAUUGGGCGUAAAGCGUCCGCAGGUGGCACUGUAAGUCUGCUGUUAAAGAGCAAGGCUCAACCUUGUAAAGGCAGUGGAAACUACAGAGCUAGAGUACGUUCGGGGCAGAGGGAAUUCCUGGUGUAGCGGUGAAAUGCGUAGAAAUA
RNAcentral lists this ribosomal RNA (617 nucleotides) under Trichormus sp. MACC 118. Its description in RNAcentral is "bacterial SSU rRNA". It matches the Rfam family "Bacterial small subunit ribosomal RNA", at positions 34 to 698 of the family's 1533-position model. The record is from RNAcentral. Lineage: Bacteria; Bacillati; Cyanobacteriota; Cyanophyceae; Nostocales; Nostocaceae.